CAGCCGCCGCGAUAAUACCAGCACCUCGAGUGGUCAGGACGUUUAUUGGGCCUAAAGCAUCCGUAGCCGGCUCUGCAAGUCUUCGGUCAAAUCCACCUGCUCAACAGAUGGGCUGCUGGAGAUACUACAGAGCUAGGGAGUGGGAGAGGCAGACGGUAUUCAGUGGGUAGGGGUAAAAUCCUCUGAUCCAUUGAGGACCACCAGUGGCGAAGGCGGUCUGCCAGAACACGUUCGACGGUGAGGGAUGAAAGCUGGGGGAGCAAACCGGAUUAGAUACCCGGGUAGUCCCAGCGGUAAACGAUGCAAACUCGGUGAUGCAUUGGCUUAUGGCCAAUGCAGUGCCGCAGGGAAGCCGUUAAGUUUGCCGCCUGGGAAGUACGGACGCAAGUCUGAAACUUAAAGGAAUUGGCGGG
RNAcentral lists this ribosomal RNA (413 nucleotides) under uncultured microorganism. RNAcentral describes it as "bacterial SSU rRNA". It matches the Rfam family "Archaeal small subunit ribosomal RNA", at positions 459 to 872 of the family's 1478-position model. The record is from RNAcentral.